Long non-coding RNA from Phyllostomus discolor (pale spear-nosed bat), 135 nucleotides. RefSeq lists it as uncharacterized. The record is from RefSeq and is a predicted model, not a curated record. The transcript has 3 exons. NCBI's taxonomy places the organism in Eukaryota, Metazoa, Chordata, Mammalia, Chiroptera, Phyllostomidae.
UGAAAAAUAAUUCAGGCCCUGGCCAGGUAGCUCAAUUGCUUGGAGCGUUGUCUGGAUACACUAAGGUGGUGGGUUUGAUCUCUGGUCAGGGCACAGACAAGAAGCAACCAGUGAAUGCAUAAAUAAGUGGAACAA